This is a long non-coding RNA of Photinus pyralis (common eastern firefly), 225 nucleotides long. RefSeq lists it as uncharacterized. The transcript has 2 exons. Lineage: Eukaryota; Metazoa; Arthropoda; Insecta; Coleoptera; Lampyridae. The record is from RefSeq and is a predicted model, not a curated record.
UGGCCGAAUUGGGUAAUCUGUCAUCUUGCCUAUUGCGUUUUUGCCGGUUUUUACGUUUUUACAUCUUUACUUGCGUCAAUUUGCCAUUAAUCUCCUUUAUUCACACAAAAUAGUCUUUAUAAAGACUCGUCGGUGUAUUCUAAAGAUAGUCAGGGUUAUAUUAUUCGCGAUCAAGAAAAGUUGUACGCAAACAUGAAUGUCGCCGGUGCUGCUUUCUCUCCACCG